CCUACGGGGGGCAGCAGUGGGGAAUAUUGCACAAUGGGCGAAAGCCUGAUGCAGCCAUGCCGCGUGUGUGAAGAAGGCUCUAGGGUUGUAAAGCACUUUCAGUCGGGAGGAAAGCUUGUAGAUUAAUACUCUGCAAGUGUGACGUUACCGACAGAAGAAGCACCGGCUAACUCCGUGCCAGCAGCCGCGGUAAUACGGAGGGUGCAAGCGUUAAUCGGAAUUACUGGGCGUAAAGCGCACGUAGGUGGUUUGUUAAGUUGGAUGUGAAAGCCCAGGGCUCAACCUUGGAACUGCAUUCAAAACUGGCGAACUAGAGUAUGGUAGAGGUGAGUGGAAUUUCCUGUGUAGCGGUGAAAUACGUAGAGAUGGGAAGGAACAUCAGUGGCGAAGGCGACUCACUGGACCAAUACUGACACUGAGGUGCGAAAGCGUGGGUAGCAAACAGGAUUAGAUACCCUGGUAGACCACGCCGUAAACGAUGUCUACUAGCCGUUGGGGUCCUUGAGACUUCAGUGGCGCAGCUAACGCACUAAGUAGACCGCCUGGGGAGUACGGUCGCAAGAUUAAAACUCAAAUGAAUUGACGGGGGCCCGCACAAGCGGUGGAGCAUGAGGUUUAAUUCGGAGCAACGCGAAGAACCUUACCUACUCUUGACAUCCACAGAACUUUUCAGAGAUGAAUUGGUGCCUUCGGGAACUGUGAGACAGGUGCUGCAUGGCUGUCGUCAGCUCGUGUUGUGAAAUGUUGGGUUAAGUCCCGUAACGAGCGCAACCCUUGUCCUUAGUUACUAACAUUAAGUUGAGAACUCUAAGGAGACUGCCGGUGACAAACCGGAGGAAGGCGGGGACGACGUCAAGUCAUCAUGGCCCUUACGAGUAGGGCUACACACGUGCUACAAUGGCCAGUACAAAGGGUUGCCAAGCCGCGAGGUGGAGCUAAUCCCAGAAAGCUGGUCGUAGUCCGGAUCGGAGUCUGCAACUCGACUCCGUGAAGUCGGAAUCGCUAGUAAUCGUGAAUCAGAAUGUCACGGUGAAUACGUUCCCGGGCCGUGUACACACCGCCCGUC
RNAcentral lists this ribosomal RNA (1066 nucleotides) under uncultured bacterium. Its description in RNAcentral is "bacterial SSU rRNA". It matches the Rfam family "Bacterial small subunit ribosomal RNA", at positions 338 to 1398 of the family's 1533-position model. The record is from RNAcentral.